ACUCCUACGGGAGGCAGCAGUGGGGAAUUUUGGACAAUGGGCGAAAGCCUGAUCCAGCAAUGCCGCGUGUGUGAAGAAGGCCUUCGGGUUGUAAAGCACUUUUGUCCGGAAAGAAAUCCUUGGCUCUAAUACAGUCGGGGGAUGACGGUACCGGAAGAAUAAGCACCGGCUAACUACGUGCCAGCAGCCGCGGUAAUACGUAGGGUGCGAGCGUUAAUCGGAAUUACUGGGCGUAAAGCGUGCGCAGGCGGUUUGCUAAGACCGAUGUGAAAUCCCCGGGCUCAACCUGGGAACUGCAUUGGUGACUGGCAGGCUAGAGUAUGGCAGAGGGGGGUAGAAUUCCACGUGUAGCAGUGAAAUGCGUAGAGAUGUGGAGGAAUACCGAUGGCGAAGGCAGCCCCCUGGGCCAAUACUGACGCUCAUGCACGAAAGCGUGGGGAGCAAACAGGAUUAGAAACCCCAGUAGUCCCAUG
Molecule: ribosomal RNA, 473 nt
Filed under: uncultured organism
Description: partial 16S ribosomal RNA
Rfam family: Bacterial small subunit ribosomal RNA
Source: RNAcentral